This is a long non-coding RNA of Sinocyclocheilus grahami, 437 nucleotides long. RefSeq lists it as uncharacterized. NCBI's taxonomy places the organism in Eukaryota, Metazoa, Chordata, Actinopteri, Cypriniformes, Cyprinidae. The record is from RefSeq and is a predicted model, not a curated record. The transcript is spliced from 2 exons.
UUCAUGUAUGAUUUAUUUUCUUGUGUAAAAAGAGUAAGUACAAAGCAAAAAAACAACAAUAACACUCUUAAAGGAGUUUAUGAAACUCGUUGAUCUGACAGUCUGUAGAAAUAGACAAUCCCCACAAACAUAUACAAUCCACUCUAUAUUAUAGAGUUCAAAUUCUAAUCCACGUCUGUAUUCCCACUGCCCAAGGCCCUUCCCACCCUAUAACACAAAAGCUCCCCUCAAGCACAAUAUGUACAUCAUCCCAGUGAUCGAGAAGCUCACUGAGACCAAACUGCAGCCAUGCUGAAAUGGGGGGGGGGGUAUUCUCCAAGAAUGGCUGGGAAGGAAGGGUGUGUGAAGAGAUAUUAGUUAGUCCAAAUAGUCAGGAAUGUAGCCAGUACAAAAUAUACAAUGCUUGAUUGUUGCCACAAAAAACAGGAAUGAUUAAG